UGGAAUGAAGGAGGUGUCUACACAAUCUAUGC
This 32-nucleotide non-coding RNA is filed under the name Mus musculus (house mouse). The record is from RNAcentral. Lineage: Eukaryota; Metazoa; Chordata; Mammalia; Rodentia; Muridae.